RNAcentral lists this ribosomal RNA (752 nucleotides) under uncultured bacterium. Its description in RNAcentral is "bacterial SSU rRNA". It matches the Rfam family "Bacterial small subunit ribosomal RNA", at positions 59 to 771 of the family's 1533-position model. The record is from RNAcentral.
CAGUCGAGCGAGCUUGCCUAGAUGAUUUUAGUGCUUGCACUAAAUGAAACUAGAUACAAGCGAGCGGCGGACGGGUGAGUAACACGUGGGUAACCUGCCCAAGAGACUGGGAUAACACCUGGAAACAGAUGCUAAUACCGGAUAACAACACUAGACGCAUGUCUAGAGUUUGAAAGAUGGUUCUGCUAUCACUCUUGGAUGGACCUGCGGUGCAUUAGCUAGUUGGUAAGGUAACGGCUUACCAAGGCAAUGAUGCAUAGCCGAGUUGAGAGACUGAUCGGCCACAUUGGGACUGAGACACGGCCCAAACUCCUACGGGAGGCAGCAGUAGGGAAUCUUCCACAAUGGACGAAAGUCUGAUGGAGCAACGCCGCGUGAGUGAAGAAGGGUUUCGGCUCGUAAAGCUCUGUUGGUAGUGAAGAAAGAUAGAGGUAGUAACUGGCCUUUAUUUGACGGUAAUUACUUAGAAAGUCACGGCUAACUACGUGCCAGCAGCCGCGGUAAUACGUAGGUGGCAAGCGUUGUCCGGAUUUAUUGGGCGUAAAGCGAGUGCAGGCGGUUCAAUAAGUCUGAUGUGAAAGCCUUCGGCUCAACCGGAGAAUUGCAUCAGAAACUGUUGAACUUGAGUGCAGAAGAGGAGAGUGGAACUCCAUGUGUAGCGGUGGAAUGCGUAGAUAUAUGGAAGAACACCAGUGGCGAAGGCGGCUCUCUGGUCUGCAACUGACGCUGAGGCUCGAAAGCAUGGGUAGCGA